GGCCUGGAGCUUUAUCGGGAUGCAUAGUCAUAAUGGCAUGCUCAAUCUCAGCAUUAGUGAUGGAUUGGACUGAGGACGAAGUUUGAACCUGAGAUAAAGGAGACAUGAUAAUCAGAUAAUCCAACUGAGGAACCUCAUUAUCAACUAUCUAACGAUUAUGAAAAUGAUCAAGUAAUGUAUUUUGAAUGGUCAAAGAAUCAUUAAUAAUGUCACUGUGAGGG
Molecule: long non-coding RNA, 221 nt
Filed under: Elaeis guineensis (African oil palm)
Lineage: Eukaryota; Viridiplantae; Streptophyta; Magnoliopsida; Arecales; Arecaceae
Description: long non-coding RNA (EGUI_LNC027313)
Source: RNAcentral